ACAAGGCAUGCUCAGUAGCGGCGAGUGAAGCGGCAAGAGCUCAGAUUUGAAAUCUCACCUAGUGUGCGAGUUGUAAAUUGCAGGUUGGAGUCUCGGGUUAGACGUGUGUGCAAGUCCCUUGGAACAGGGUGCCACUGAGGGUGAGAGCCCCGUAGCGUGCAUGUCGACACCUGUGAGGCCCUUCUGACGAGUCGAGUUGUUUGGGAAUGCAGCUCUAAGUGGGUGGUAAAUUCCAUCUAAGGCUAAAUAUUGGCGAGAGACCGAUAGCGAACAAGUACUGUGAAGGAAAGAUGAAAAGCACUUUGAAAAGAGAGUGAAACAGCACGUGAAAUUGUUGAAAGGGAAGGGUAUUGGGCUCGACAUGGGAUUUACGCAUCGUUGCCUCUCGUGGGCGGCGCUCUGGGUUUUUCCUGGGCCAGCAUCGGUUUUCGUUGCAGGAUAAGGACAAUUGGAAUGUGGCUCCUCGGAGUGUUAUAGCCUUUUGUAGAUGCUGCGUAUGGGGACCGAGGGCUGCGGCGGACUCGUUUCGUCUCGGAUGCUGGCACAACGGCGCAAUACCGCCCGUCUUGA
This 570-nucleotide ribosomal RNA is filed under the name Pichia kluyveri. RNAcentral describes it as "eukaryotic LSU rRNA". It matches the Rfam family "Eukaryotic large subunit ribosomal RNA", at positions 68 to 657 of the family's 3401-position model. The record is from RNAcentral. Lineage: Eukaryota; Fungi; Ascomycota; Pichiomycetes; Pichiales; Pichiaceae.